GCGUAGUCGAUGGGAAACGGGUUAAUAUUCCCGUACUUGGUGUUACUGCGAAGGGGGGACGGAGAAGGCUAUGUUGGCCGGGCGACGGUUGUCCCGGUUUAAGCGUGUAGGUGUGUGUUCCAGGUAAAUCCGGUUCACUUUAACACUGAGGCGUGAUGACGAGGCACUACGGUGCUGAAGCAACAAAUGCCCUGCUUCCAGGAAAAGCCUCUAAGCAUCAGGUAACAUCAAAUCGUACCCCAAACCGACACAGGUGGUCAGGUAGAGAAUACCAAGGCGCUUGAGAGAACUCGGGUGAAGGAACUAGGCAAAAUGGUGCCGUAACUUCGGGAGAAGGCACGCUGACAC
This 348-nucleotide ribosomal RNA is filed under the name Salmonella enterica subsp. enterica serovar Kentucky. Its description in RNAcentral is "partial 23S ribosomal RNA". It matches the Rfam family "Bacterial large subunit ribosomal RNA", at positions 1409 to 1757 of the family's 2925-position model. Lineage: Bacteria; Pseudomonadati; Pseudomonadota; Gammaproteobacteria; Enterobacterales; Enterobacteriaceae. The record is from RNAcentral.